GGGUGUGAUCAUACCAGCACUAAUGCACCGGAUCCCAUAAGAAUUCUGCAGUUAAGUGUGCUUGAGCAAGAGUAGUACUAAGUUGGGUGACCACUUGGGAAGUCCUUGUGUUGCACCCU
Molecule: ribosomal RNA, 119 nt
Filed under: Cucumis sativus (cucumber)
Lineage: Eukaryota; Viridiplantae; Streptophyta; Magnoliopsida; Cucurbitales; Cucurbitaceae
Source: RNAcentral